GCCGGUGUGGCUCAGUGGAUAGAGCAUCUGCCUGUGGACCAAAAGGUCCCGGGUUCAAUUCUGGUCAAGGGCA
Molecule: transfer RNA, 73 nt
Filed under: Myotis brandtii (Brandt's bat)
Lineage: Eukaryota; Metazoa; Chordata; Mammalia; Chiroptera; Vespertilionidae
Rfam family: tRNA
About the family: Transfer RNA (tRNA) molecules are approximately 80 nucleotides in length.
Source: Rfam by way of RNAcentral